AUAUUGGACAAUGGGGGAAACCCUGAUCCAGCCAUCACGCGUGUAUGAUGAAGGCGUUCUGCUUGUAAAGUACUUCUGGCAGAGAAGACGAGGUAACUCCUAGUACGAGGUACUGCUGACGGUAUCUGCAGAAUACGCACCGGCGCACUACGUCCCAGCAGCCGCGGUAAUACGUAGGGUGCAAGCGUUAAUCGGAAUUACGGGGCGUAAAGGGUGUGUAGGCGGUUAGGCAAGAAAGAUGUGAAAUCUCAGGGCUCAACCUUGGAACUGCAUUUGUAACUGCCGAGCUAGAGUACGGCAGAGGGGGGUAGAAUUCCACGUGUAGCAGUGAAAUGCGUAGAUAUGUGGAGGAAGACCGAUGGCGAAGGCAGCCCCCUGGGAUAAUACUGACGCUCAGACACGAAAGCGUGGGGAGCAAACA
RNAcentral lists this ribosomal RNA (421 nucleotides) under uncultured bacterium. RNAcentral describes it as "partial 16S ribosomal RNA". It matches the Rfam family "Bacterial small subunit ribosomal RNA", at positions 361 to 774 of the family's 1533-position model. The record is from RNAcentral.